Molecule: long non-coding RNA, 919 nt
Organism: Phycodurus eques (leafy seadragon)
Lineage: Eukaryota; Metazoa; Chordata; Actinopteri; Syngnathiformes; Syngnathidae
Exons: 4
Source: RefSeq, a predicted model, not a curated record
UUGACUGCUCACCAGACCAAGCGCAAGUUUUGCCGCGAAGCUAACUUUUAGCUAGCGCCUUCACGGAACCUUCGGUUAUUCGUCUUUUGGGGAAAACUCAGAUGAACGUACAACUGCCAAGAGUCUCAAAAUGCCGCUGUUUAUCGCCACGAAAGGCAAAUGUGAAAGUUGACAAGGAAUUUCUCAGAAGCGAUUGAACGACUGCAACAAAAAAGACAGCAACAGCAGGGAAACCUGAAAAGCUUUGUCACAAACACCGUGGACUCAAGAAAGCAGACUGAAUCCACUUUCACUGGAAAUACAUCAGACGCACAAUCUUCACCGACUCCUCCUCCAGUUCAUCAUCGUAGUCGUCGGGCAGCGGCGGCAGGACAGGAUCGAAACUCUUCUGGGCCACCGUGUCGUGCACGGAAAGGAGGGCCUGGCAGGACACCGCAGCACAGUAACUUCAGGUACGCCAAGCUCCUCUCGCUGAAAACAUCCUUGAGGAAGACCAUGUCCUCCUUGUGGUUGGCGUCGGGCCGCAGCUGCGAGGUGAGCAGGGCCAAUGUCUCGUGGAGCCCUGAGAGGGGCGAAGAGGAGGAAUAACAUUAAGGAACAUGAGAGAGGAUGAUGAGGUUAGACCAUGGGCUCAUCUUACCUGCUCCUGCUGUGAGCACCUGCAUGGCUUCUUUCAUUGAUCCCCCAGGAGGGCGUGGUCCUUGCAACCCCGUGAACACGGAGGGAAACUACUGCACCCCCUUUUCCACUGACAUAUUGAUGCUAUCCCAUCCCCCGCUAGCUCCCCCUGUCCUCAUCCUCCCUGCGCAGUAUCACGCCGCUCUUCGUCGCGGGCAGAUGGAGGGACACAAAAAAGGGAAAACAGAGGGAUGAGGGAACAUCCCAUCUGGCUCAUGUCGAUGGCAAUUAAAGGGCUAAA